This 253-nucleotide ribosomal RNA is filed under the name uncultured bacterium. RNAcentral's name for it is "partial 16S ribosomal RNA". It matches the Rfam family "Bacterial small subunit ribosomal RNA", at positions 524 to 776 of the family's 1533-position model. The record is from RNAcentral.
UACGUAGGGUGCAAGCGUUGUCCGGAAUUACUGGGCGUAAAGGGCUCGUAGGCGGCCAACUAAGUCAGACGUGAAAUCCCUCGGCUUAACCGGGGAACUGCGUCUGAUACUGGAUGGCUUGAGGUUGGGAGAGGGAUGCGGAAUUCCAGGUGUAGCGGUGAAAUGCGUAGAUAUCUGGAGGAACACCGGUGGCGAAGGCGGCAGCCUGGACCAAUUCUGACGCUGAGGAGCGAAAGCCAGGGGAGCAAACGGG